UACGAAGGGGGCUAGCGUUGUUCGGAAUCACUGGGCGUAAAGCGCACGUAGGCGGAUGUGUCAGUCAGGGGUGAAAUCCCGGAGCUCAACUCCGGAACUGCCUCUGAUACAGCACGUCUUGAGUCCGGAAGAGGUGGGUGGAAUUCCUAGUGUAGAGGUGAAAUGCGUAGAUAUUGGGAGGAACACCAGUGGCGAAGGCGGCUCACUGGACCGGUACUGACGCUGAGGCGCGAAAGCGUGGGUAGCAAACAGG
This 253-nucleotide ribosomal RNA is filed under the name uncultured bacterium. Its description in RNAcentral is "partial 16S ribosomal RNA". It matches the Rfam family "Bacterial small subunit ribosomal RNA", at positions 524 to 776 of the family's 1533-position model. The record is from RNAcentral.